AAUUUUCUAAAUUAGUGCAAAUUAAUUCAUAAAUUUAGGAUAUCAAUUAAAAGUUUCUUUGAAUGUUGUAUAGUUGAAAUACCGAAAUAACCUCGAAUGAUGUAACCCUUUUACCUGCUAAAUGUUUAAAUUACAUCUUUACUCUCUAUUAAUCAACGGUUAAGAUCUAUUUUAAUUUUUUAAUAAUAAAGUACCGAAUCAUUUCUCAUAUAUAUUAUCUGUAUACUCUCGUAUCAAAUGCAUAUAUCUUACAUCUAAGUCAUCUAAGUGCUUUUAUUUUUUAUUUACCCUAUUAUUUGUUUUUAUUACUUGAAGAGCAAAAAAAAUUUAUAAUUUUCAGGCUACGUAAGUUAUAAGAUUUAUAUUUAUGUGCAAGUGUACAAGUAUUAUUUAUUAAAAGCAAAUUCUACUUUAUUGAUUGAUCUGAGGGUGCGUUUGGUUUACAUUAUGAAAGAUUACUAGGAAUAAAAGAUAUCCGAGAAUCUUAUUUCUAUUCAUACUAUUAUUAAGAAUGUGGAAUUUCUGUGUUUGGUUCGCACGGUAAUAUUAAUUAGCCAUGUUAUUUAAUAUUACAAAAAAUAUACAAUUAAUUUAUUUAUUUAUUUAAUUAAUUUUAGAUAAUGUUACCAAAAAUUUCAACAUCUUUUUAGAAAAAAGGAAGAGAGAGUAUAAGUUAGAGAGAGAGAGCAUAAUUAAAAAAAAAGAAAGAAAAAUAUAGUCGAAAUUAGAGGGAGUGAGAGAGUUGAAAUUUUAGAAAGAGAGAGAGAGAAAGCUUAGUUUAGAGAGAGAAAAAAAAAGUUGAAUUUUAGAGAGAAAAAUAAGUUUAGAGAGAGAUAUAAGGUUAGAGUGUAAAGAAAAAUAAUAUCAAUUAGCCGGCGGGUAGGAAGAAAGAAAGAGAUUAGAUAUAUUAUGAUUACCCCAAUCCAUUAAUAUGAGGAUACCCACCCUCCCUCAAGGGAAUGAGAUUAGUACUUUGGGGUGAAUCUUAUUCCCAAGUGAAUCUAAUAUUACCAACUAGAUUACUUAGUGCGUUUAGCCAAACACCGUUAUAUUUUUUAUUCACAUUGGAUUACUAGUAAUCUUUAAAAGAUAGCGCGAACCAAACGCACCCUGAGUGUAAUAAAUAGAUGUUUUUAAAUCACAUUGAUUAUAAAAUGGUACACAGACAUUACAGCAUUGUGUUUUAAUAGGUGAGGCAGGACAAAUGCUAUAAAGUCACCAAAAAUAAGAUAUAUCUGUCUCAUAAUCGCUCAAUUGCAUUAUUAUACAUAACUUAAAUAAAAUUGCAUAAAUUUUACAUUAUCUUUAUUAUUUAUCUAAUAUUGUUAAAAUUUUUAAAUUUUUUUAUUACUUGAAAGCUAAAACUAGCUCCUAUGUCUUCCUUCUUUUCAAUACGUGAAAAUUUAACAAAAAUAAAAAGUGUAUAAUAGUUUUUUCUUUAAUAAUUUGGUGAAGUUUGAGUGAGACAUAUCUUUUAUUACUCCUUUAGAGCUGGAACUUGUAUAAUUUAAUUAGGUCUUUGUUUGAAUGCAUAAGCAUAUUAUUAUUCAGUGUAUUUUUUAAUUUGUUGAGAAUAUUUUAGCAGUUGAAAAAAAAAAAUAUGAAAAAGUAUCUAAAACAAAUACUAUUUUU
RNAcentral lists this long non-coding RNA (1632 nucleotides) under Ananas comosus (pineapple). Its description in RNAcentral is "long non-coding RNA (ACOM_LNC018792)". Lineage: Eukaryota; Viridiplantae; Streptophyta; Magnoliopsida; Poales; Bromeliaceae. The record is from RNAcentral.